UCUUCAUAAAAAAAUGUAAAUUCCAGGUGAAUGUGCAAAAUAUAUGUAAUAAAAGAAAGACUAUGCUAGUUGUCAAAGUAUGAAAAGUUUGAGAUGAUACAAUUAUUAGAUAAAACUUUUUUAAACUACAGAGAAAAUGUUUUUUAUAAUUUGUUAAUAAGUUAACUUAUUUUUAACAUUAUAUUAUGAUAUGUUGAAAAAGAGUAGAUUUAAAAGGUGUACUACAAGUCAUUUUCAUGAGUAUUUUAAAUAAAGUGGAAGGACUAUACUUACAUUUUACUUACUGACUUUGAUGAUAUAAUGUUUGAUAACAGAAAUUUUUAGCACUCUAUGAAUUAUUGAACUAUUUCAUUUCCAGGAUUGAAAUGCUAUUUUUCUUCCCUGGUACAAUGUUAAAGCUUUAAACUCUUGUCAAUGAUGUGAUGUUUCAUCUGCAAUGAUCUACACUAGAAAAAUAAAAAUGUAGCUACUGACAAAAAAGCAGGAACUACUGCUGUAAGGAAAAAAGGAGAGCUACAUGAGGACCACACAACUCCUGGAGGAGGUUUCCCUGGCAACACAACUUUUCCAUUCAUCUGGUUGCAGUAUUUUCAUCCAGUAGCCUGUCACCUCACUCAAAAGCAAGGCAGAUUUAUAAAGGAAGCUGCUGGAGGGAAUUCAUUCCCUUUUCGCUGUUCUGCCUUCCACCUUUCACUGUGUGAGGACACUGCAAGAAAGUCCUCAUCAGACACCAAUUGCCAGCACCUAGAUCUUGGAAUUCUCAGCCUCCAGAACUGUGAGAAAUACAUUUUUAUUUUUCUAUAA
Molecule: long non-coding RNA, 804 nt
Filed under: Macaca mulatta (Rhesus monkey)
Lineage: Eukaryota; Metazoa; Chordata; Mammalia; Primates; Cercopithecidae
Description: lncRNA (ENSMMUG00000050142.1)
Source: RNAcentral